GCGGACAUGGCGGAAUUGGCAGACGCACCAGAUUUAGGAUCUGGCGGGAGACCGUGGGGGUUCAAGUCCCUUUGUCCGCACCA
Molecule: transfer RNA, 83 nt
Filed under: Clostridiaceae bacterium
Lineage: Bacteria; Bacillati; Bacillota; Clostridia; Eubacteriales; Clostridiaceae
Description: tRNA-Leu
Rfam family: tRNA
About the family: Transfer RNA (tRNA) molecules are approximately 80 nucleotides in length.
Source: RNAcentral